This 468-nucleotide ribosomal RNA is filed under the name uncultured Actinomycetes bacterium. Its description in RNAcentral is "bacterial SSU rRNA". It matches the Rfam family "Bacterial small subunit ribosomal RNA", at positions 28 to 507 of the family's 1533-position model. Lineage: Bacteria; Bacillati; Actinomycetota; Actinomycetes. The record is from RNAcentral.
GACGAACGCUGGCGGCGUGCUUAACACAUGCAAGUCGAACGGUGAACCCUGCUUGCGGGGGGAUCAGUGGCGAACGGGUGAGUAACACGUGGGCAACCUGCCCCCGGCUCUGGGAUAACUCCAAGAAAUUGGGGCUAAUACCGGAUGUGACCGCUGACCGCAUGGUCUGGUGGUGGAAAGAUUUAUCGGCUGGGGAUGGGCCCGCGGCCUAUCAGCUUGUUGGUGGGGUGAUGGCCUACCAAGGCGACGACGGGUAGCCGGCCUGAGAGGGUGACCGGCCACACUGGGACUGAGACACGGCCCAGACUCCUACGGGAGGCAGCAGUGGGGAAUAUUGCGCAAUGGGCGGAAGCCUGACGCAGCGACGCCGCGUGGGGGAUGACGGCCUUCGGGUUGUAAACCUCUUUCAGCAGGGACGAAGCCUUUUCGGUGACGGUACCUGCAGAAGAAGCACCGGCCAACUACGUG